This 377-nucleotide ribosomal RNA is filed under the name uncultured bacterium. RNAcentral describes it as "bacterial SSU rRNA". It matches the Rfam family "Bacterial small subunit ribosomal RNA", at positions 521 to 896 of the family's 1533-position model. The record is from RNAcentral.
UAAGACAGAGGUGCCAAGCGUUAGGCGGAAUCACUGGGCUUAAAGCGCGUGUAGGCGGGUCGUUAAGUACCUUGUGAAAUCCCACGGCUCAACCGUGGAACUGCUGGGUAUACUGGCGAUCUUGAGGCAUCUAGGGGCAGCUGGAACAAGUGGUGGAGCGGUGAAAUGCGUAGAUAUCACUUGGAACGCCGAAGGUGAAGACAAGCUGCUGGGGAUGAACUGACGCUGAGACGCGAAAGCCAGGGGAGCGAACGGGAUUAGAUACCCCGGUAGUCCUGGCCCUAAACGAUGUCCACUAGAUCAGGGUGGUUUUGACACCUUCCUGGUCGAAGCAAAAGUGCUAAGUGGACCGCCUGGGAAGUACGGUCGCAAGGCUA